CGGGACGGGUGAGUAAUGUCUGGGAAACUGCCUGAUGGAGGGGGAUAACUACUGGAAACGGUAGCUAAUACCGCAUAACGUCGCAAGACCAAAGAGGGGGACCUUCGGGCCUCUUGCCAUCGGAUGUGCCCAGAUGGGAUUAGCUAGUAGGUGGGGUAACGGCUCGCCUAGGCGACGAUCCCUAGCUGGUCUGAGAGGAUGACCAGCCACACUGGAACUGAGACACGGUCCAG
Molecule: ribosomal RNA, 233 nt
Filed under: uncultured bacterium
Lineage: Bacteria
Description: partial 16S ribosomal RNA
Rfam family: Bacterial small subunit ribosomal RNA
Source: RNAcentral